This 70-nucleotide transfer RNA is filed under the name Cautires sp. UPOL A00079. Its description in RNAcentral is "tRNA-Glu". Lineage: Eukaryota; Metazoa; Arthropoda; Insecta; Coleoptera; Lycidae. The record is from RNAcentral.
AUUUCUUAUUUAUAUAGUUUACGAAAACAUUACAUUUUCAUUGUAAAAUUAAAUAUUUAUUAUUUUAUAA